AAACCCAUGGAACCUGAGAGCAGGGAAGGAGUGGCUCACCAGAGAAAAACAGAGGUGCUGUUCUCAGAAGGGAUCAUGGCUACCAAACAGGCUCAAGAGGGGGAUCGAUGCCAAGAAAAUUCUCCAUUUCUGAGCAUUAGCACAUCAGGCUAGAAGCACUGACUCUCCCACAAGAAGACACACUCCUGGGAUUUCCCUGGCAAUCCCGUAAGAGCCUGAAGAUCUAUUGCCGGCAGCUGGAUCGGGGUGGAGAGAGCCUUGGUCCUUGCUGUCUUUGUGCUUGGGACACUUUUCCAUUCACCUAAGAGGAAACUCCUCUCCAUCUUUCGAGAACUGUCUCCAAUGUCACUUCUCUGAAGCUUUCUCUGGUACUGACCUCUCAACUUGAAAGGAUCGCUCUUCCUCAGAGCCUGAUACUACCUGCUACCCGCU
Molecule: long non-coding RNA, 432 nt
Organism: Rhinolophus ferrumequinum (greater horseshoe bat)
Lineage: Eukaryota; Metazoa; Chordata; Mammalia; Chiroptera; Rhinolophidae
Exons: 3
Source: RefSeq, a predicted model, not a curated record